UACUAGACUGAUCGGAGGUCGGGCCGGGAGGGCGGGGGACGGAGGCGGGUCAUGGGCUGAGGGGGAGGGUAGACGAGUGGCGGAAACCCUCAGACCCAGAGAAGCAUCGAGAACCGGAAGGAGACCUUAGGAGGAAGAAGCCAGGGUGCAGUGAUUAGUGGGAAACACUGGAACCUACCAAUCAGGAACUCAACAUAAAGGGAGGACAAUGAAGAAGAUUCAAAGUAACCAGUUCCUGUUGCCCUAAUGUAACAAUCUUCAACGUAAAAGUACACUGAAACUUCACUGCUGUGCAACAAAGCACAGCACAGUGGGACAAAUUUGAGGUGACUUCUCAGAAUGAAUGGCAGGCUGUGGUCUAGCUAAUCCAACACUGACUGUCUAUUACUAGAAGGUCCAGGAAUCCAGUAGCUGUUCAGUCCACAAAGCUGGAUGUCUCAGCUGGAAUUCAGUGUACACUGACAUUCCAAAGUAGGCGCUAAUGCCAAAGAGAGCAAGAGCAAGCAAGCCAAGAGAGGUAAGCUUCCUUUUUCCAUAUCCUUUAUAUAGGCUGCCCAGAUUGGAGGUGGAUCUUCCCACCUCGAAAGAUCUGGAUUAAAAUUGAGCCUUCCCAUCUCAAAUAAUUCAAGAAAAAAAAAAUCCAUCAUAGGUGUACCCAGCAGAGUUUUGGUUAAUUUUAGAUAUACUCCAAUUGACAACCAAGAAAUAGCAACCACACCCAAGACAGCAGGAUUGCUGAAGUAAAAAACAAAAUAUUGGAAUGUUCCAGUUGUAGUGGUGUAUACAAGGUUAUAUUGGACUACCUGAGACUAUUUAGAAAAAAGAAAUAAAAGGGGCUGGAGAGAUGCUCAGUGGUUAAGAGCACUGGCUGUUCUACAGAGGACCUGAGUUUAAUUCCCAGAACCUACAUGGUGGUUCACAACAGUCUGUGGUUCCAGUCCAAGGCAUCUUCUGGUCUUCAUAGUUAUCAAGCAUGCAGGUGGUGCACAGACAUACAUUCAGGCAAAACACCCACACACUAAAAAUAUAUUUAAAAAGAAAAUAAAACAAGAUAAAAAUUUUGAAGGGAAUCUAAGAAAACAUCCCCAGUAAGAAUCUUAUAGUUAGUAGGACCAAGAACAUGUUUAUAACUUUUAUAAAAAGAAUAUUCAAGUGUAUGAGUGUUUUUGCCUGCAUUUAUGUCUGUGUACUGUGUGCAUCACUGGCACUUACAGAGGUAAAAAGAGGAUCUCAGAUCACCUGUGACUGAAGUUAAGGAUGGCUGUAAGCUAUCAUGUGGCAGUUAGCAACUGAACCUGUUGAGCCAUCUUUCCAGACCCAGGACUAUCUUUUUUUUAGUGUAGCUCUUGCUAUGCGACAGAAGUAGCUAGUAUAUGAUCCAUAUUUUUCUAAAUUUCAAGGCAAAAAAAGUUUUAGCCAUAUAAGCUUCCAUCAAAAAAAUAUCAAACCAGUAUCUACAAAUACUGCUAAGGGGAAGCUAAUCUCCCACAUACCCCAAACAAAAACAGUGUAAUUCGGUUUUAUAUGAAACUCAAAAAUAUACAAAACAACACAACUACAGUUGGUAGUAUUGCAAGUGUGGUUAUCAAGAAUACACAGUCUCUCUGGCUGUUAGGCAUAUCGUGUAUGUUGACAAAGGGUACUGAGUACACUCAACUGUAACCUAGCACUUGAACAUCUUAUUGUACUUUGAAGAGAGGGACAUCCUUUUUAUCCUAAAUGAAAAACUGUAGAGAUCUUAAGAAUGUCACUCAACAAAGCAUACUUUGCUCUUGUCAAAAUGAGUUAAAAGAAAUAAAUAGCCAAUGUCCUUUCUAAAAUGUUCUUCUUCACCUUACUCUA
This is a long non-coding RNA of Alexandromys fortis (reed vole), 1842 nucleotides long. RefSeq lists it as uncharacterized. The transcript is spliced from 3 exons. Lineage: Eukaryota; Metazoa; Chordata; Mammalia; Rodentia; Cricetidae. The record is from RefSeq and is a predicted model, not a curated record.